This 113-nucleotide ribosomal RNA is filed under the name Chinchilla lanigera (long-tailed chinchilla). The record is from RNAcentral. Lineage: Eukaryota; Metazoa; Chordata; Mammalia; Rodentia; Chinchillidae.
GUCUACGGCCAUACCACCCUGAAUGUGCCCAAUCUCUGAUCUUGGAAGCAAAGCAGGGUCGGGCCUGGUUAGUACUUGGAAGGGAGAUCAUAACUUACAGAUCCGGGCACACU